RNAcentral lists this ribosomal RNA (478 nucleotides) under uncultured bacterium. RNAcentral's name for it is "bacterial SSU rRNA". It matches the Rfam family "Bacterial small subunit ribosomal RNA", at positions 28 to 494 of the family's 1533-position model. The record is from RNAcentral.
GACGAACGCUGGCGGCGCGCUUAACACAUGCAAGUCGAGCGAGAACCGGGACUUCGGUCCCGGGGACAGCGGCGAACGGGUGAGUAACACGUGGGUAAUCUGCCCUCGAUUCUGGGAUAGCCCGGGGAAACCCGGAUUAAUACCGGAUAGCCUUUCGAGCCUUCGGGCGCGAAAGAAAAGGUAGCUUCGGCCUCCGAUCGAGGAUGAGCCCGCGGUGGAUUAGCUUGUUGGCGGGGUAAUGGCCCACCAAGGCGACGAUCCAUAGCUGGUCUGAGAGGACGAUCAGCCACACUGGGACUGAGACACGGCCCAGACUCCUACGGGAGGCAGCAGUGGGGAAUCUUGCGCAAUGGGCGAAAGCCUGACGCAGCGACGCCGCGUGGGGAAGAAGGCCUUAGGGUUGUAAACCUCUUUCAGGUGGGACGAAGCCACUCGGGUGAUAGCCCCAGAGGGUGACGGUACCGCCAGAAGAAGCCCC